GACGAACGCUGGCGGCGUGCCUAAUACAUGCAAGUAGAACGCUGAAGAGAGGAGCUUGCUCUUCUUGGAUGAGUUGCGAACGGGUGAGUAACGCGUAGGUAACCUGCCUGGUAGCGGGGGAUAACUAUUGGAAACGAUAGCUAAUACCGCAUAAUAGUAGAUGUUGCAUGACAUUUGCUUAAAAGGUGCAAUUGCAUCACUACCAGAUGGACCUGCGUUGUAUUAGCUAGUUGGUGAGGUAACGGCUCACCAAGGCAACGAUACAUAGCCGACCUGAGAGGGUGAUCGGCCACACUGGGACUGAGACACGGCCCAGACUCCUACGGGAGGCAGCAGUAGGGAAUCUUCGGCAAUGGACGGAAGUCUGACCGAGCAACGCCGCGUGAGUGAAGAAGGGUUUCGGAUCGUAAAGCUCUGUUGUAAGAGAAGAACGAGUGUGAGAGUGGAAAGUUCACACUGUGACGGUAUCUUACCAGAAAGGGACGGCUAACUACGUG
Molecule: ribosomal RNA, 497 nt
Filed under: uncultured bacterium
Lineage: Bacteria
Description: partial 16S ribosomal RNA
Rfam family: Bacterial small subunit ribosomal RNA
Source: RNAcentral